CCUUAGUACGGCGAGUGAGCGGCAAAAGCUCAAUUUGAAAGCUAGCACCUUCGGUGUUCGCGUUGUAAUUUGAAGAUAGUUUCCUUGAGUAGUCCUUUAUCUAUGUUCCUUGGAACAGGACGUCAUAGAGGGUGAGAACCCCGUAUGAUUUUGGAUACUACUCUUUGUGGGAUUCUAUCGAAGAGUCGAGUUGUUUGGGAAUGCAGCUCUAAGUGGGUGGUAAAUUCCAUCUAAAGCUAAAUAUUGGCGAGAGACCGAUAGCGAACAAGUACAGUGAUGGAAAGAUGAAAAGAACUCUGAAGAGAGAGUGAAAAAGUACGUGAAAUUGCUGAAAGGGAAGGGCUUGAGGUCAGACUUGGUGUUUAAUGAUUAUCAGUUCUUCUUGGACUGUGCACUCGUUUUUCACCGGGCCAAUAUCAGUUUUAGCGGUAGAGUACCCCUUGAAAUGUGGCUUCCUUCGGGGAGUGUUAUAGUCUUGGGGAGAUCUACUUGCUGGGACUGAGGACUGCGCUUCGGCAAGGAUAUUGGCGUAAUGACCUUAAGCCGCCCGUCUUGAAACACGGACCA
Molecule: ribosomal RNA, 567 nt
Filed under: Saccharomycopsis fibuligera
Lineage: Eukaryota; Fungi; Ascomycota; Saccharomycetes; Ascoideales; Saccharomycopsidaceae
Description: eukaryotic LSU rRNA
Rfam family: Eukaryotic large subunit ribosomal RNA
Source: RNAcentral